CCUACGGUUGGCAGCAGUGGGGAAUAUUGGACAAUGGGCGAAAGCCUGAUCCAGCCAUGCCGCGUGUGUGAAGAAGGCUUUCGGGUUGUAAAGCACUUUCAGUGGGGAAGAAAGCCUUGGGGCUAAUACCCUCGAGGAAGGACAUCACCCACAGAAGAAGCACCGGCUAACUCCGUGCCAGCAGCCGCGGUAAUACGGAGGGUGCGAGCGUUAAUCGGAAUUACUGGGCGUAAAGCGCGCGUAGGCGGUCUGAUAAGCCGGUUGUGAAAGCCCCGGGCUCAACCUGGGAACGGCAUCCGGAACUGUCAGGCUAGAGUGCAGGAGAGGAAGGUAGAAUUCCCGGUGUAGCGGUGAAAUGCGUAGAGAUCGGGAGGAAUACCAGUGGCGAAGGCGGCCUUCUGGACUGACACUGACGCUGAGGUGCGAAAGCGUGGGUAGCAAACAGGAUUAGAUACCCGUGUAGUC
RNAcentral lists this ribosomal RNA (465 nucleotides) under Vreelandella stevensii. Its description in RNAcentral is "partial 16S ribosomal RNA". It matches the Rfam family "Bacterial small subunit ribosomal RNA", at positions 338 to 795 of the family's 1533-position model. Lineage: Bacteria; Pseudomonadati; Pseudomonadota; Gammaproteobacteria; Oceanospirillales; Halomonadaceae. The record is from RNAcentral.